This 501-nucleotide ribosomal RNA is filed under the name uncultured bacterium. Its description in RNAcentral is "partial 16S ribosomal RNA". It matches the Rfam family "Bacterial small subunit ribosomal RNA", at positions 30 to 523 of the family's 1533-position model. The record is from RNAcentral.
AUUGAACGCUGGCGGCAGGCUUAACACAUGCAAGUCGAGCGGAGAUGAGGUGCUUGCACCUUAUCUUAGCGGCGGACGGGUGAGUAAUGCUUAGGAAUCUGCCUAUUAGUGGGGGACAACAUUCCGAAAGGAAUGCUAAUACCGCAUACGUCCUACGGGAGAAAGCAGGGGAUCUUCGGACCUUGCGCUAAUAGAUGAGCCUAAGUCGGAUUAGCUAGUUGGUGGGGUAAAGGCUUACCAAGGCGACGAUCUGUAGCGGGUCUGAGAGGAUGAUCCGCCACACUGGGACUGGGACACGGCCCAGACUCCUACGGGAGGCAGCAGUGGGGAAUAUUGGACAAUGGGGGAAACCCUGAUCCAGCCAUGCCGCGUGUGUGAAGAAGGCCUUAUGGUUGUAAAGCACUUUAAGCGAGGAGGAGGCUACUGAGACUAAUACUCUUGGAUAGUGGACGUUACUCGCAGAAUAAGCACCGGCUAACUCUGUGCCAGCCGCCGCCGUAA